GCCUAAAGCGUCCGUAGCCUGUUCUAUAAGUUUCCGGUUAAAUCCAUUAGCUCAACUAAUGGGCCGCCGAAAAUACUGUGGAACUAGGGAGUGGGAGAGGUAGACGGUAUUCGGUAGGAAGGGGUAAAAUCCUUUGAUCUAUUGAUGACCACCAGUGGCGAAGGCGGUCUACCAGAACACGUUCGACGGUGAGGGAUGAAAGCUGGGGGAGCAAACCGGAUUAGAUACCCGGGUAGUCCCAGCUGUAAACGAUGCAGACUCGGUGAUGUAUUGGCUUGUGGCCAGUGCAGUGCCGCAGGGAAGCCGUUAAGUUUGCCGCCUGGGAAGUACGUACGCAAGUAUGAAACUUAAAGGAAUUGGCGGGGGAGCACCACAAGGGGUGAAGCCUGCGGUUCAAUUGGAGUCAACGCCAGAAAUCUUACCCGGAGAGACAGCAGAAUGAAGGUCAAGCUGAAGACUUUACCAGACAAGCUGAGAGGUGGUGCAUGGCCGUCGCCAGCUCGUGCCGUGAGAUGUCCUGUUAAGUCAGGUAACGAGCGAGACCCUUGCCUCUAGUUGCCACCAUUGCUCUCUGGAGCAGUGGGGCGAAUUAGCGGGACCGCCGCAGUUAAUGCGGAGGAAGGAAAGGGCUACGGCAGGUCAGUAUGCCCCGAA
This 654-nucleotide ribosomal RNA is filed under the name uncultured archaeon. RNAcentral describes it as "bacterial SSU rRNA". It matches the Rfam family "Archaeal small subunit ribosomal RNA", at positions 508 to 1160 of the family's 1478-position model. The record is from RNAcentral.